CGGGGUGAGUAACGCGUGGGUAACCUGCCUCAUACAGGGGGAUAACAGUUAGAAAUGACUGCUAAUACCGCAUAAGCGCACAGUGCUGCAUGGCACAGUGUGAAAAACUCCGGUGGUAUGAGGUGGACCCGCGUCUGAUUAGCUAGUUGGUGGGGUAACGGCCUACCAAGGCGACGAUCAGUAGCCGGCCUGAGAGGGUGAACGGCCACAUUGGGACUGAGACACGGCCCAA
Molecule: ribosomal RNA, 232 nt
Filed under: uncultured bacterium
Lineage: Bacteria
Description: partial 16S ribosomal RNA
Rfam family: Bacterial small subunit ribosomal RNA
Source: RNAcentral